RNAcentral lists this transfer RNA (85 nucleotides) under Candidatus Omnitrophota bacterium. RNAcentral's name for it is "tRNA-Leu". It matches the Rfam family "tRNA". From Rfam's summary of the family: Transfer RNA (tRNA) molecules are approximately 80 nucleotides in length. Their secondary structure includes four short double-helical elements and three loops (D, anti-codon, and T loops). The record is from RNAcentral. Lineage: Bacteria; Pseudomonadati; Candidatus Omnitrophota.
GCGGACGUGGCGGAACUGGAAUACGCUCACGGCUUAGGACCGUGUGUCGAAAGACUUGAGAGUUCAACUCUCUCCGUCCGCACCA